This 531-nucleotide ribosomal RNA is filed under the name Staphylococcus aureus. RNAcentral's name for it is "bacterial SSU rRNA". It matches the Rfam family "Bacterial small subunit ribosomal RNA", at positions 196 to 715 of the family's 1533-position model. The record is from RNAcentral. Lineage: Bacteria; Bacillati; Bacillota; Bacilli; Caryophanales; Staphylococcaceae.
AAAAGUGAAAGACGGUCUUGCUGUCACUUAUAGAUGGAUCCGCGCUGCAUUAGCUAGUUGGUAAGGUAACGGCUUACCAAGGCAACGAUGCAUAGCCGACCUGAGAGGGUGAUCGGCCACACUGGAACUGAGACACGGUCCAGACUCCUACGGGAGGCAGCAGUAGGGAAUCUUCCGCAAUGGGCGAAAGCCUGACGGAGCAACGCCGCGUGAGUGAUGAAGGUCUUCGGAUCGUAAAACUCUGUUAUUAGGGAAGAACAUAUGUGUAAGUAACUGUGCACAUCUUGACGGUACCUAAUCAGAAAGCCACGGCUAACUACGUGCCAGCAGCCGCGGUAAUACGUAGGUGGCAAGCGUUAUCCGGAAUUAUUGGGCGUAAAGCGCGCGUAGGCGGUUUUUUAAGUCUGAUGUGAAAGCCCACGGCUCAACCGUGGAGGGUCAUUGGAAACUGGAAAACUUGAGUGCAGAAGAGGAAAGUGGAAUUCCAUGUGUAGCGGUGAAAUGCGCAGAGAUAUGGAGGAACACCAGUGG